Molecule: long non-coding RNA, 780 nt
Organism: Sycon ciliatum
Lineage: Eukaryota; Metazoa; Porifera; Calcarea; Leucosolenida; Sycettidae
Exons: 3
Source: RefSeq, a predicted model, not a curated record
CUAACUAUUACUAGUAUUACUUACUUCUCCCGGUUUCUCAAGUAAUAAGUUUGUUGCUAGCAUGUUCUCAACGUUGGUCCCUGCUAGUUGUAGAUUCUGACUCUGUAAAUGGGAGAGAUGAAAGUAGAGUUCUUUCUCUUUGCGGGUCCUGUAGUCGACGGCUAUUAUUAUCUUCGAGGAGCAAAAUGAAUGUACAUGACUGUAUCCAGCUCUACUCCGUGGCUCUGAGAGGGAAAAUGUUGCAGAGAUGGGUUUCUAGGCUGUUGCAAUGGAUGGCUUCAUAUUCAAAUUUACAAUAUCAGAGCAUGGGUUGCCCCACUUGCUGGAGAUGUGCUUCGCAGAACGUAUGCUCCCAGGUGUUCUAUCGUUGAAGGAGACAAUGCAAUGAGGGCAUGUCCAUAUCUAAUCACUGGUCACGUCCCAAGUGCUCCAAGCAUGCCACCUGGCAGCCUGCAUACCAAGAGGGCUGAUAGUUUCCCAGCAUAGGGUGGCGAAACAUCAGGCUGUGACAGCUCUUCAUAUCCGAUAUCGCACUGAGAUAGUGAACCAAGUGGCUCCAUCACUCAACUCUACAGUCAGACCAGAGUGUACUACCACGCACUACUAGUACCAGUUGGAGAGAGACUCGAAACCAGGAAACUACUGCCAGUAAGUUUAGUUGUACCAUGGGUUGAAACUUUCAUCAUGGGUCAUGGGACGGGAUGGUUUAGGAGUGCAAUCUAGCUUAAACUAACGCAUUACUUACCUGGUGAUGUUUCAAGUCUCAAGCAUAGCAAUGGA